RNAcentral lists this unclassified non-coding RNA (331 nucleotides) under soil metagenome. RNAcentral's name for it is "partial contains 5.8S ribosomal RNA, internal transcribed spacer 2, and large subunit ribosomal RNA". The stretch from base 1 to 120 matches the Rfam family "5.8S ribosomal RNA", at positions 35 to 154 of the family's 154-position model. The record is from RNAcentral.
GAUGAAGAACGUAGCGAAAUGCGAUAAGUAAUGUGAAUUGCAGAAUUCAGUGAAUCAUCGAAUCUUUGAACGCACAUUGCGCCCCCUGGCAUUCCGGGGGGCAUGCCUGUUCGAGCGUCAUUUCACCACUCAAGCCUCGCUUGGUAUUGGGCAACGCGGUCCGCCGCGUGCCUCAAAUCGACCGGCUGGGUCUUCUGUCCCCUAAGCGUUGUGGAAACUAUUCGCUAAAGGGUGUUCGGGAGGCUACGCCGUAAAACAACCCCAUUUCUAAGGUUGACCUCGGAUCAGGUAGGGAUACCCGCUGAACUUAAGCAUAUCAAUAAGCGGAGGA